Molecule: ribosomal RNA, 354 nt
Filed under: uncultured Haliea sp.
Lineage: Bacteria; Pseudomonadati; Pseudomonadota; Gammaproteobacteria; Cellvibrionales; Halieaceae
Description: bacterial SSU rRNA
Rfam family: Bacterial small subunit ribosomal RNA
Source: RNAcentral
ACUGGAGUUUGAUCCUGGCUCAGAUUGAACGCUGGCGGCAGGCCUAACACAUGCAAGUCGAGCGCGAAAGGCCUUCGGGUUGAGUAGAGCGGCGGACGGGUGAGUAACGCGUAGGAAUCUACCUGGUAGUGGGGGACAACAUGGUGAAAACCAUGCUAAUACCGCAUACGCCCUAUGGGGGAAAGCGGGGGACCUUCGGGCCUCGCGCUAUCAGAUGAGCCUGCGUAGGAUUAGCUUGUUGGUGAGGUAAAGGCUCACCAAGGCGACGAUCCUUAGCUGGUCUGAGAGGAUGAUCAGCCACACUGGAACUGAGACACGGUCCAGACUCGUACGGGAGCAGCAGUGGGGUAAUAC